Fundulus heteroclitus (mummichog) is the source of this 1239-nucleotide long non-coding RNA. RefSeq lists it as uncharacterized. The record is from RefSeq and is a predicted model, not a curated record. The transcript has 3 exons. NCBI's taxonomy places the organism in Eukaryota, Metazoa, Chordata, Actinopteri, Cyprinodontiformes, Fundulidae.
UUCAUGGCUUGGCAGCAGUCUUGGACUGGUUUCCAAAAAGUUUUGGAAACUUCCCCUGGUUUCCGAUGCUGUCUUUUGUUUUUCUCCGCUGUUUUUAGUCCGCCGAAGGGGAGAAAAAUCCAGCGAACAGAAGCCUCUCUUUCCUAGAACCUGUCGGGAGAUCCGAGAAGAACCUUUGGGGUCCAGCAAACGUGAGGCUGUGUCCUUCUCUGUGGGCAAAGUGACAAAGGUGGUGCUUACCCGCUCCUGCUUCCUCCGGCUGGAUGCAGACCGAAGCCAGGCUGAAAAGGGAGAAGAUGACGAAGGCUAAGAUGAUGAAGCCGUACCUUCUGAGCGUGGACACUCCUCGUUGAUCAUCCCGAUGAGCGUGAAGAGGGCGAACACCAGAAUGGAGAACAUGAUCGUCCACACUUCAAGCUCGGUCAGCGAGGCCAUCGAUCCGGACGCGCUCCCACGGCUGUGUGUUGACAGUAAUAUCAGUAAAAUCACCAGCACCGCAAAGGUACGGGGCUCAUCACAGCGUAUAAAAAAAAAUAAAAAAUCAGAGUUAAACACUUACCUGCUGGGUCACAGGAGCAUUCAGCGGCAGACGAUCACGCUGCAGCUGCAGUUCAGGCCUUCUGCGCCUCUCUUUCUUUCACACUGUUGCAAGAGCUGCGAAGGGCUGACUUACACGUUCGGUCUCGAGUUCAAGAGAGAUCAUGUUCACCGUAAUUAUUUAUAGAGCCCGCGACUCUACAGCUACGUUUUCACUGAAUGCGGGAGGUUUUGAGGAUACUGAAAUGAAAGUUAAGCCAGGUUCUUGUAGCUUACUUCGGUUCUGAUGUUCCACUAUGUUGUGAUAGACGUCUGGUUGCAUUUGAACCCGUCUGUUCUUCUGAGCUGCUCUGCAUUAAAGCACAUUGGCGACCUCAGUCACCACAAAUGGUGGUUUUUCUUCAUUUUUAGCAUUUAACCGAAGAACAAGUGCACAAUCGACCUCCCUUGUUUUCCUAUUACGUUUUUUUUUUUUUUAUGAUUGUGCACGUCUAAGUACAUGAGUUUGAGAGACCACUUCUCUUCUGGGUUGUGGCUUACAGGACCAGUGCUGCUGCAGGUUCUGCAUUUUUCAUCUUUGUUCUGCAAAGUUCUUAGCGUAAAGAUGUUGCUGCACUGUGCAGAGUUUUGAGCUCAUUUCUAUAGCUGACAUGCAAAUUUAUUCACACAUCACAGUCACUUUACAGCCUUAAAACUUCAAUG